Long non-coding RNA from Drosophila sulfurigaster albostrigata, 640 nucleotides. RefSeq lists it as uncharacterized. Lineage: Eukaryota; Metazoa; Arthropoda; Insecta; Diptera; Drosophilidae. The record is from RefSeq and is a predicted model, not a curated record. The transcript has 2 exons.
AUAGCAGGCAUUGCAAUUUGUAACUUUGCUACCUUUUGAAAAUGGUGCUCGCAUUGAAAUUUCAAAAGUAAAUUACAAUGCAAAACCAUUUCCCUUGGCAAUAAUUUGAAUUAAUCUCGUCUCCGCACGCUUGUUGUACUCUAUUAGUGAACUAAUUAACAACUCGCUAUCCUUGAUCGGAACAGACAGAGAAACGAGAAAGUGGAGCGGUCAGUCGCCAGUGAUUUGUGCUGACAAAUUAUGCACAUUUAUUUUCACAUUCUCGUAAAAGCUAAAAGACCCCAGACUAGGGACCCAUUGGCCGCGGUUCGAGUACAGUGUCGCCAGAAGAGCACAUAAUAAACUUGUAAUGCGUGACAGGAUGUGCAUAUGUAUGAACUGUGUGUGUGUGUUUAUGUGUGUGUAUAACCAUAGUGAACUGAACCAAAAGCCAUAAGUGGUUAUGCCUCAUUUAGCAGUCGAUGCAUCUUUUAUAUCGCAUCGCAGUAUUCGGCUUGACUUUUAGGGUUCUGUUUAAUCCACAUUGAUUGGAAUUUAUUCGUAUGUGCUUGUAAUAUAGUAUCAAUAAUUACAAUCUCAGUGCUUUUGGACUAUUAUUUAUAUUUACGACUUGGGAGCUCUGUCUUUGAGCAGCGCUUUA